AACGAACGCUGGCGGCGCGCCUAAUACAUGCAAGUCGAGCGAGAAGACGUAGCAAUACGUUUGUAAAGCGGCGAACGGGUGAGGAAUACAUGGGUAACCUACCCUCGAGUGGGGAAUAACUAGCCGAAAGGUUAGCUAAUACCGCGUACGCUCCUUGGACUUCGGUUCAGGGAGGAAAGCGAUACCGUGGGUAUCGCGCUCUUGGAUGGGCUCAUGUCCUAUCAGCUUGUUGGUGAGGUAACGGCUCACCAAGGCUUCGACGGGUAGCUGGUCUGAGAGGACAAUCAGCCACACUGGCACUGCGACACGGGCCAGACUCCUACGGGAGGCAGCAGUAAGGAAUAUUGCGCAAUGGGCGAAAGCCUGACGCAGCGACGCCGCGUGGGGGAGU
RNAcentral lists this ribosomal RNA (391 nucleotides) under uncultured bacterium. Its description in RNAcentral is "bacterial SSU rRNA". It matches the Rfam family "Bacterial small subunit ribosomal RNA", at positions 29 to 410 of the family's 1533-position model. The record is from RNAcentral.